CGAAAGCCUGACGGAGCAACGCCGCGUGAGGGAUGAAGGCCUCUGGGCUGUAAACCUCUUUUAUCAAGGAAGAAGAUCUGACGGUACUUGAUGAAUAAGCCACGGCUAAUUCCGUGCCAGCAGCCGCGGUAAUACGGGAGUGGCAAGCGUUAUCCGGAAUUAUUGGGCGUAAAGCGUCCGCAGGCGGCCUGUUAAGUCUGUCGUUAAAGCGUGGAGCUUAACUCCAUUUAAGCGAUGGAAACUGCAAGACUAGAGUGUGGUAGGGGCAGAGGGAAUUCCCGGUGUAGCGGUGAAAUGCGUAGAUAUCGGGAAGAACACCAGUGGCGAAGGCGCUCUGCUGGGCCAUAACUGACGCUCAUGGACGAAAGCCAGGGGAGCA
This 379-nucleotide ribosomal RNA is filed under the name uncultured cyanobacterium. RNAcentral's name for it is "bacterial SSU rRNA". It matches the Rfam family "Bacterial small subunit ribosomal RNA", at positions 376 to 770 of the family's 1533-position model. Lineage: Bacteria; Bacillati; Cyanobacteriota. The record is from RNAcentral.